UACAGAGGGUGUAAACGUUGCUCGGAAUCAUUGGGCGUAAAGCGCACGUAGGCGGCCUAGCAAGUAGGGAGUGAAAGCCCUCGGCUUAACCGAGGAAGUGCUUUCUAAACUACUAGGCUUGAAUACUGGAGAGGGUCGCGGAAUUCCCGGUGUAGAGGUGAAAUUCGUAGAUAUCGGGAGGAACACCAGUGGCGAAGGCGGCGACCUGGACAGAUAUUGACGCUGAGGUGCGAAAGCGUGGGGAGCAAACAGG
RNAcentral lists this ribosomal RNA (253 nucleotides) under uncultured bacterium. RNAcentral's name for it is "partial 16S ribosomal RNA". It matches the Rfam family "Bacterial small subunit ribosomal RNA", at positions 524 to 776 of the family's 1533-position model. The record is from RNAcentral.